Molecule: ribosomal RNA, 434 nt
Filed under: uncultured bacterium
Lineage: Bacteria
Description: bacterial SSU rRNA
Rfam family: Bacterial small subunit ribosomal RNA
Source: RNAcentral
AGAGUUUGAUCCUGGCUCAGAGCGAACGCUGGCGGCAGGCCUAACACAUGCAAGUCGAACGAACUCUUCGGAGUUAGUGGCGGACGGGUGAGUAACACGUGGGAACGUGCCUUUAGGUUCGGAAUAACUCAGGGAAACUUGUGCUAAUACCGAAUGUGCCCUUCGGGGGAAAGAUUUAUCGCCUUUAGAGCGGCCCGCGUCUGAUUAGCUUGUUGGUGGGGUAAUGGCCCACUAAGGCUACGAUCAGUAGCUGGUCUGAGAGGAUGACCAGCCACAUUGGGACUGAGACACGGCCCAAACUCCUACGGGAGGCAGCAGUGGGGAAUCUUGCGCAAUGGGCGAAAGCCUGACGCAGCCAUGCCGCGUGUAUGAUGAAGGUCUUAGGAUUGUAAAAUACUUUCACCGGUGAAGAUAAUGACUGUAGCCGAGAAGAG